Bombus impatiens (common eastern bumble bee) is the source of this 203-nucleotide long non-coding RNA. RefSeq lists it as uncharacterized. Lineage: Eukaryota; Metazoa; Arthropoda; Insecta; Hymenoptera; Apidae. The record is from RefSeq and is a predicted model, not a curated record. The transcript is spliced from 3 exons.
UAGCACACAAAAUUACACAUAUCUCAAUAUUUAUAAUUUAAUAUUAUAUAUAUAUAAUUAUAGUUAUUAUUCUUGUUGAGGAUUGUGGAUCGUAAUCGGCGAAAUAAAUAGAAACAUUUUCAUUGCAAAUACAGAUGAUAAUAGAAUACUUUUGUAUUUAUUUAAUGUGAUUUACAAGAUGAUCAUAGAUACCUAUUACGCGU